CUAGCUGUAAACGAUGAAUGCUAGGUGUGGGAGGUUGAAAUCCUUCCGUGCCGGAGUUAACGCAAUAAGCAUUCCGCCUGGGGAGUACGGCCGCAAGGCUAAAACUCAAAGGAAUUGACGGGGGCCCGCACAAGCAGUGGAGCGUGUGGUUUAAUUCGACGCAACGCGCAGAACCUUACCAGGGCUUGACAUCAUAGUGCAAAGGCUAGAAAUAGUCUCCCUGUAGCAAUACAGCGCUAUGACAGGUGU
Molecule: ribosomal RNA, 249 nt
Filed under: uncultured bacterium
Lineage: Bacteria
Description: partial 16S ribosomal RNA
Rfam family: Bacterial small subunit ribosomal RNA
Source: RNAcentral